Molecule: ribosomal RNA, 391 nt
Filed under: uncultured Clostridium sp.
Lineage: Bacteria; Bacillati; Bacillota; Clostridia; Eubacteriales; Clostridiaceae
Description: bacterial SSU rRNA
Rfam family: Bacterial small subunit ribosomal RNA
Source: RNAcentral
UGGGGAAUAUUGGGGCAAAUGGGGCGCAAGCCUGACCCAGCAAUGCCGCGUGAAGGAAGAAGGCUUUCGGGUUGUAAACUUCUUUUACCAGGGACGAAGAAAAUAGACGGUACCUGGAGAAUAAGCCACGGCUAACUACGUGCCAGCAGCCGCGGUAAUACGUAGGUGGCAAGCGUUGUCCGGAUUUACUGGGUGUAAAGGGCGCGUAGGCGGGGAAGCAAGUCAGAUGUGAAAUCUAUGGGCUUAACCCAUAAACUGCAUUUGAAACUGUUUCUCUUGAGUGUCGGAGAGGUAGAUGGAAUUCCUAGUGUAGCGGUGAAAUGCGUAGAUAUUAGGAGGAACACCAGUGGCGAAGGCGAUCUACUGGACGAUAACUGACGCUGAGGCGCGA